CAAUAAGUAGUUUAUUUAAAAUUUAGGUUUUGGGAAUCUAAGAAAUAUUUUUAUAUUUUA
RNAcentral lists this transfer RNA (60 nucleotides) under Mileewa albovittata. RNAcentral's name for it is "tRNA-Pro". The record is from RNAcentral. Lineage: Eukaryota; Metazoa; Arthropoda; Insecta; Hemiptera; Cicadellidae.